Molecule: small nucleolar RNA, 177 nt
Organism: Caenorhabditis elegans
Lineage: Eukaryota; Metazoa; Nematoda; Chromadorea; Rhabditida; Rhabditidae
Source: Ensembl
UAUUCAGAAUCAGUUUCCCUUAACGUCAGUCUCCCACGCCUCGGCUACCUGUUAUCCGCUUAUAAUCCCAAUAUUUCCGCUCCGCGGAGCUUUCUGCUUCUGAUAACAUCAUACUUCUUUUGCUCCUAUACACUUUUCCGCAGCCGCGAGAUUAUCUUGGCACGAUGCCCGGGCAAG